Molecule: ribosomal RNA, 460 nt
Filed under: uncultured bacterium
Lineage: Bacteria
Description: partial 16S ribosomal RNA
Rfam family: Bacterial small subunit ribosomal RNA
Source: RNAcentral
CCUACGGGAGGCAGCAGUGAGGAAUAUUGGUCAAUGGACGAGAGUCUGAACCAGCCAAGUAGCGUGAAGGAUGACUGCCCUAUGGGUUGUAAACUUCUUUUAUAUGGGAAUAAAACGUUCCACGUGUGGGCUUUUGUAUGUACCCUAUGAAUAAGGAUCGGCUAACUCCGUGCCAGCAGCCGCGGUAAUACGGAGGAUCCGAGCGUUAUCCGGAUUUAUUGGGUUUAAAGGGAGCGUAGGUGGAUUGUUAAGUCAGUUGUGAAAGUUUGCGGCUCAACCGUAAAAUUGCAGUUGAAACUGGCAGUCUUGAGUACAGUAGAGGUGGGCGGAAUUCGUGGUGUAGCGGUGAAAUGCUUAGAUAUCACGAAGAACUCCGAUUGCGAAGGCAGCUCACUGGACUGAAACUGACACUGAGGCUCGAAAGUGUGGGUAUCAAACAGGAUUAGAUACCCCAGUAGUC